AACUUUGUGAUUUCUUAGGCUGUACAGGCUGGCACUUGAAGAAUAUUUAUGAUUUAUGUUCAUUCGGGAGUCCUAUUUAAUAAUUUCCCUGUACAAAAAUAGAACCCAGUACGCGCCUGGUUCUGUUAUUCAGUGUAUACAUUGCCCCCUACUUAUUUUCGUAAACCCUAACACGAAACGUAUAAUUCGAAUUCAGAGUGCGCAAUAUACUAAUCUGAAAAGU
Molecule: non-coding RNA, 223 nt
Organism: Cinara cedri
Lineage: Eukaryota; Metazoa; Arthropoda; Insecta; Hemiptera; Aphididae
Source: the annotation of a GenBank genome assembly